RNAcentral lists this ribosomal RNA (497 nucleotides) under uncultured bacterium. RNAcentral describes it as "partial 16S ribosomal RNA". It matches the Rfam family "Bacterial small subunit ribosomal RNA", at positions 28 to 507 of the family's 1533-position model. The record is from RNAcentral.
GAUGAACGCUGGCGGCGUGCCUAAUACAUGCAAGUCGAGCGAACAGACGAGGAGCUUGCUCCUCUGACGUUAGCGGCGGACGGGUGAGUAACACGUGGAUAACCUACCUAUAAGACUGGGAUAACUUCGGGAAACCGGAGCUAAUACCGGAUAAUAUAUUGAACCGCAUGGUUCAAUAGUGAAAGACGGUUUUGCUGUCACUUAUAGAUGGAUCCGCGCCGCAUUAGCUAGUUGGUAAGGUAACGGCUUACCAAGGCAACGAUGCGUAGCCGACCGGAGAGGGUGAUCGGCCACACUGGAACUGAGACACGGUCCAGACUCCUAGGGGAGGCAGCAGUAGGGAAUCUUCCGCGAUGGGCGAAAGCCUGACGGAGCAACGCCGCGUGAGUGAUGAAGGUCUUCGGAUCGUAAAACUCUGUUAUUAGGGAAGAACAAAUGUGUAAGUAACUAUGCACGUCUUGACGGUACCUAAUCAGAAAGCCACGGCUAACUACGUG